Molecule: ribosomal RNA, 484 nt
Filed under: uncultured bacterium
Lineage: Bacteria
Description: partial 16S ribosomal RNA
Rfam family: Bacterial small subunit ribosomal RNA
Source: RNAcentral
AUUGAACGGUGGCGGCAGGCCUAACACAUGCAAGUCGAGCGGAUGAAGGGAGCUUGCUCCUGGAUUCAGCGGCGGACGGGUGAGUAAUGCCUAGGAUUCUGCCUGGUAGUGGGGGAUAACGUCCGGAAACGGGCGCUAAUACCGCAUACGUCCUGAGGGAGAAAGUGGGGGAUCUUCGGACCUCACGCUAUCAGAUGAGCCUAGGUCGGAUUAGCUAGUUGGUGGGGUAAAGGCCUACCAAGGCGACGAUCCGUAACUGGUCUGAGAGGAUGAUCAGUCACACUGGAACUGAGACACGGUCCAGACUCCUACGGGAGGCAGCAGUGGGGAAUAUUGGACAAUGGGCGAAAGCCUGAUCCAGCCAUGCCGCGUGUGUGAAGAAGGUCUUCGGAUUGUAAAGCACUUUAAGUUGGGAGGAAGGGCAGUAAGUUAAUACCUUGCUGUUUUGACGUUACCAACAGAAUAAGCACCGGCUAACUUCGUG